UCCCUGGUAGCUCAGAUGGUAAGAGCAUCUGCCUACAAUGCAGGAGACCUGAGUUCAAUCCCUGGGUUGGGAA
This 73-nucleotide transfer RNA is filed under the name Bos taurus (domestic cattle). It matches the Rfam family "tRNA". From Rfam's summary of the family: Transfer RNA (tRNA) molecules are approximately 80 nucleotides in length. Their secondary structure includes four short double-helical elements and three loops (D, anti-codon, and T loops). The record is from Rfam by way of RNAcentral. RNAcentral also lists the same sequence under 4 other names. Lineage: Eukaryota; Metazoa; Chordata; Mammalia; Artiodactyla; Bovidae.